GAGAGGUGGCCGAGCGGUUUAAGGCACCAGUCUUGAAAACUGGCGAUCCCGCGAGGGGCCGUGGGUUCGAAUCCCACCCUCUCC
RNAcentral lists this transfer RNA (84 nucleotides) under uncultured Acidaminococcus sp. It matches the Rfam family "tRNA". From Rfam's summary of the family: Transfer RNA (tRNA) molecules are approximately 80 nucleotides in length. Their secondary structure includes four short double-helical elements and three loops (D, anti-codon, and T loops). Lineage: Bacteria; Bacillati; Bacillota; Negativicutes; Acidaminococcales; Acidaminococcaceae. The record is from RNAcentral.